CCUACGGGAGGCAGCAGUGGGGAAUAUUGGACAAUGUGCGAAAGCCUGAUCCAGCCAUGCCGCGUGUGUGAAGAAGGCCUUCGGGUUGUAAAGCACUUUCAGUGGGGAAGAAAGCCUUGGGGCUAAUACCCUCGAGGAAGGACAUCACCCACAGAAGAAGCACCGGCUAACUCCGUGCCAGCAGCCGCGGUAAUACGGAGGGUGCGAGCGUUAAUCGGAAUUACUGGGCGUAAAGCGCGCGUAGGCGGUCUGAUAAGCCGGUUGUGAAAGCCCCGGGCUCAACCUGGGAACGGCAUCCGGAACUGUCAGGCUAGAGUGCAGGAGAGGAAGGUAGAAUUCCCGGUGUAGCGGUGAAAUGCGUAGAGAUCGGGAGGAAUACCAGUGGCGAAGGCGGCCUUCUGGACUGACACUGACGCUGAGGUGCGAAAGCGUGGGUAGCAAACAGGAUUAGAUACCCCAGUAGUC
This 465-nucleotide ribosomal RNA is filed under the name Vreelandella stevensii. Its description in RNAcentral is "partial 16S ribosomal RNA". It matches the Rfam family "Bacterial small subunit ribosomal RNA", at positions 338 to 795 of the family's 1533-position model. The record is from RNAcentral. Lineage: Bacteria; Pseudomonadati; Pseudomonadota; Gammaproteobacteria; Oceanospirillales; Halomonadaceae.